This is a long non-coding RNA of Glossina fuscipes, 3542 nucleotides long. RefSeq lists it as uncharacterized. The record is from RefSeq and is a predicted model, not a curated record. The transcript is spliced from 3 exons. Lineage: Eukaryota; Metazoa; Arthropoda; Insecta; Diptera; Glossinidae.
AUGGUUUCAUUUGGUUGGAACAAAUCAUAAUGUAGCGCAAAUGGGAUCGCCAUGAAUAUAUUUUACUCUUUUUUUUUUAAUUAGAUAGAAGUGAGGAAAGAGGAACGACAGAUAGUAACUUGGUGGCCGCAGUGUAAUGAGUGCUCUGGGUGGGCGACUUGGGUCCUCUCUAUAGCUACGAUUUAAUUUAAGUCUACUGACUUUGAAUAUCGUAACGCAUUGUCUAACUAUUCAACAGCACUGUGCUUCGAACUAAUCAGAAAGAGUAAAGUUUUCCGCGUAUGAUAUUCUUUAUCGCACAAAACUGGCGAUCUUUCUUGUUGCAGAAAAUAUUUUUGCAAUGAGAUGAUUGUUAGCAGAUGGAGCUGUCCAAGCUUUUAAAAAAAAAGUAGAUGACUUCAAAAAUGUAUGCUCAAACUAUAUGCUAUUACCGCUAUCCAUAUGCGAAACCCGGAAAUUGAAUUGCGCAACUAAUAGCAUCCUAUAGUACCCGGUACGCUAUCUUUUGAAAUGAAACCACAGAGAGAAUUUCAUUAACGUCUCAAUCAGAUAGAUAUAGGAAGUCUUUGCAAACUUAUAAUAGAUUGUUCGCGCUGCCUGCCGUAACGUACGCAUCAGAGUUCUGCUGAAAGUACACCAAAUAUGGUUUAAAUUGCAUUGAAAAAAUUUAAGAACGCUUAAGCGACUUGAAUGUCGUAAGCAUUCUAGAACGUAAAGUUACAGCAGUCAGCAAUGCGGGCUAUGUUGGAUGUAACGUGCGUUCAACUUAAAACCUUUAUCGCGUCUAAGCCAUAAUGUCUUGCACUUAAUAGAAAAUACAUGGGAAAGAAAGAUUACAUAAGAUAUGGUUAUAUAAUCGACUUAAGGAAUUACGUUCUGGGUUCAACUUUUAUUUUAUUAUUAAUCGCCGAGUAAUUUUGGCAAAGAGACAGACACAUCAACCGAUAUAAAAUCGAUUGGGGGAAAAGAAUGCCCUACAACGAAUUCUGACUAAUCUCUUAUUGACAUCUUAGACCAAACGAUAACAAUUACAAAGCAUUUUUUUUUUUAAUGGCAAUUGUGUCAAUUCGACAUCGAUAUGAUCGGUUCGCUACCAGACUCUUACGCGAAAAAUUUUGAAAGCUGCUUUCAUGAUUACAUGACACAUCAAUUGAAUUAUUAUAGAUUUUACGUAUAUGAGGCAUAAAUGUGACGCUGCGCUGUGUGUAAGAAAGGGCUGCGUUACAGACAUGUGACGUCCGUUAGGAUGACUCUGAAGAAUGUAUGUUUUAACGAAAGUUUAAAUCGACAUCAGUUAAAUGCUGCAAAUUCACAUCAACAUAUGUUUUGUAGAAGUGUUGUUGAUCAACAUUCAAUUUUUGCAAAAUUGUAUUAAUAUAACUCCCACGUGUCUGGAUCUAGUAACCUAUUCUGGAACGUAUGACUGGACGUGGCCGAAGGUAAUGAAUUACAGCUUAACUAAGCAAUUGCUAAUUAUUAGCUUCGAUCUUGAUUCUCUUCAGCAACAGAUGCCUCAAAAUGUUGGAAGAAAACGGUUCAUCGAUUAAACAUUACGAUCGCAUGGUAAGAAAAUCUCAUUUCGAAAAGAGCUCAAUUACCUGAUACCUUGAGAUUAAACUGGACAAUUUUCGCUCUUCCAAUUACAUUAUGUGCAUACCUUUAAUUGUCAUAUCUGUCAAUUUAGGCGUUGUCGAAACGUUGUUUCAUGCGAUUAAGUCUUACAUCUUCCCGUCAAUCUGUUUGUAUCUUGAAACUUAAAGCAUAAGGUUGCAUAGCAAAAAAACAAAAAAAACAAAAAAAAGAAUAUAUAACAGACUGGAACUGGAAGCAAUUAGCUUCAUCAAGUCCUUUAACAUAUUGAUCUAAAACUCAACUUUAACGUAUUAGCCUACUAAAGAAGAUGAUGAACUAAAAUUUGGUACAUCUACAGUCAUUCAAAAAUUCCACAUAACUAUGUUCCUCAAUUUUUCGAUAUCCUUUUCCAUUGGUUGCAGGCAGAUAUAUAGAAGAUUUUGCCUAAAAAACGCCGAACAUUCAACUUUGGCUGACUUGUUAUUGGGUUAUGCACGAGUUAAGCCCGCUUCAAAAGCUUUAACUUUAAAUAUGUAGGCGCUCCUGCUGCUGCAUCUUGCUGCUGGUGUAGCAAGAAACCACAAUCAGUCAUACGGAUGGAUGGACAUUGCCUAAAGUAGUUCAACAGUUGACAUUGAUAAAUGCAUUGGCUAUUUAUGGACUUUGCAAUUUGAACAGCAUCAACUGAUGCUCGAUGAGGUGUAUAAAAAUUAAAAAAGAAACAAGCAAAAAUUUCUAUCAUUUUUACGCUCGACUUUAAAGUACACCAGUAUACAUAUACGUGCGGAUCAAAAAAUUUCAAAUCCAAGCAAACUGGGUGAUGCCGACGUCUCCCAAGCGGCGACGUUACAAAAACGAAAUGAUAAAAUUUGAUCUUUCACCAGCGGGUAGAAAAGUAACAAAAUUUACAUUCAUGUUCAUUUGUACCUGAACGCGAACAAAAUUUGUAAGAGUAAAAUAUUAAAUACAAAAUUUAUUUUUCGCUGAUUUAAUCAAAAAAUUCACUAGAAAUCCAAAAAGAAUCAAGAACAUUAUAUAUUCGGUCGUCACCGACUCUUUUUUAUACUCAUCACCGUGAUCCCAAAAAAAAAUAAAUAAAUAAUUAAAUAAAUUUUCACACUUGGUAAUAGUGGAUGGGCGCGAUUGAUUUUUUCUAUCUUUUGAGUAAAAGUAGAAAUAUGUAUGAUGUGUGUGUUGACUUUUCUGACUUACAACCAAAAAACACGUAAAACAAAGUAAAGAGUUCAAACUCCUCGUUACAUAGACUUGUGGAUGCUGUGGGCUUGUUCUUUGAAAAGUUCGGGCCUUUUCUACGCUUAUAAGCAAUAUCUUCAUUUUUGCGAACGAAAGAACGCUUACCACAAACUGCAGGCUGCACAUUUGCGCAGACGUACAAAUGGACAGAUGGAUAGACAAAUGGACGGACGUGUUUAGAUGCAUUCCGAAUUUGAAACUGGCCAAGAAUUUAUAUACUUUAUUGGGGUGUGUAAGACUCGUUUCACCGCCUUAUAAAGGUAUUGCAAAUAAAUGAUACAAUAACACACUAUAAAAUUAAAUAGGCGUGGCCAACUUUUUCCAUUUUUCUAGAGGUACUAAUUAAAGCAUGGGUUACCAACCAAAUUUACAUUUACAUUUUUGUAGACUUACGCAAUUUUUAAUUCUUUUUGAAAAACAUAAGUGUCUUCAGCUUAGGUGUUACUGCAAGCGUGUCGUUCGACUGAUUUAACCCAUUUCCAAUACCAACAUACGUGCAAGAACUUUCAAUCCUUUUGCCAUAUCUGAAUUUGAUGGAUUCAUUUUUGCGGCCAGGAUAACGUUUACACUAGCCAUUACAAAGACGGACAGACAGCCAGGCGGGCAUAAAUCAACUCUGAAUUUGAAGCUGAUUAAUAAUGUAAAUGCUAUGUGGAUCCUCCGAAACUUCCUUCUGGGCGUUACAAACGUUUUAACAAAAUUAACGUACCCUCUAU